GGCUCGAUGGUCUAGGGGUAUGAUUCUCGCUUUGGGUGCGAGAGGUCCCGGAUUCAAAUCCCGGUCGAGCCC
Molecule: transfer RNA, 72 nt
Filed under: Daphnia magna
Lineage: Eukaryota; Metazoa; Arthropoda; Branchiopoda; Diplostraca; Daphniidae
Rfam family: tRNA
About the family: Transfer RNA (tRNA) molecules are approximately 80 nucleotides in length. Their secondary structure includes four short double-helical elements and three loops (D, anti-codon, and T loops). Further hydrogen bonds mediate the characteristic L-shaped molecular structure. tRNAs have two regions of fundamental functional importance: the anti-codon, which is responsible for specific mRNA codon recognition, and the 3' end, to which the tRNAs corresponding amino acid is attached (by aminoacyl-tRNA synthetases). tRNAs cope with the degeneracy of the genetic code in two manners: having more than one tRNA (with a specific anti-codon) for a particular amino acid; and 'wobble' base-pairing, i.e. permitting non-standard base-pairing at the 3rd anti-codon position.
Source: Rfam by way of RNAcentral